This 92-nucleotide ribosomal RNA is filed under the name Bacillus sp. FJAT-29953. Lineage: Bacteria; Bacillati; Bacillota; Bacilli; Caryophanales; Bacillaceae. The record is from RNAcentral.
CGAGAAGGUCACACCCGUUCCCAUCCCGAACACGGAAGUUAAGCUUCUCAGCGCCGAUGGUAGUUGGGGCGAAAGCCCCUGUGAGAGUAGGA